This 720-nucleotide ribosomal RNA is filed under the name Pseudarthrobacter oxydans. Its description in RNAcentral is "bacterial SSU rRNA". It matches the Rfam family "Bacterial small subunit ribosomal RNA", at positions 38 to 769 of the family's 1533-position model. The record is from RNAcentral. Lineage: Bacteria; Bacillati; Actinomycetota; Actinomycetes; Micrococcales; Micrococcaceae.
CGUAGGGUUGUUGAUCGUUACUGCAGUCGAACGAUGAUGGGAGCUUGCUCCUGGAUUAGUGGCGAACGGGUGAGUAACACGUGAGUAACCUGCCCUUAACUCUGGGAUAAGCCUGGGAAACUGGGUCUAAUACCGGAUAUGACUCCUCAUCGCAUGGUGGGGGGUGGAAAGCUUUAUUGUGGUUUUGGAUGGACUCGCGGCCUAUCAGCUUGUUGGUGAGGUAAUGGCUUACCAAGGCGACAACGGGUAGCCGGCCUGAAAGGGUGACCGGCCACACUGGGACUGAAACACGGCCCAAACUCCUACGGGAGGCAGCAGUGGGGAAUAUUGCACAAUGGGCGCAAGCCUGAUGCAGCGACGCCGCGUGAGGGAUGACGGCCUUCGGGUUGUAAACCUCUUUCAGUAGGGAAAAAGCGAAAGUGACGGUACCUGCAAAAAAAGCGCCGGCUAACUACGUGCCAGCAGCCGCGGUAAUACGUAGGGCGCAAGCGUUAUCCGGAAUUAUUGGGCGUAAAGAGCUCGUAGGCGGUUUGUCGCGUCUGCCGUGAAAGUCCGGGGCUCAACUCCGGAUCUGCGGUGGGUACGGGCAGACUAGAGUGAUGUAGGGGAGACUGGAAUUCCUGGUGUAGCGGUGAAAUGCGCAGAUAUCAGGAGGAACACCGAUGGCGAAGGCAGGUCUCUGGGCAUUAACUGACGCUGAGGAGCGAAAGCAUGGGGAGC